This 466-nucleotide ribosomal RNA is filed under the name uncultured bacterium. Its description in RNAcentral is "partial 16S ribosomal RNA". It matches the Rfam family "Bacterial small subunit ribosomal RNA", at positions 28 to 507 of the family's 1533-position model. The record is from RNAcentral.
GAUGAACGCUGGCGGCGUGCUUAACACAUGCAAGUCGAACGGAAAGGCCCAAGCUUGCUUGGGUACUCGAGUGGCGAACGGGUGGGUAACACGUGGGUGAUCUGCCCUGCACUUCGGGAUAAGCCUGGGAAACUGGGUCUAAUACCGGAUAGGACCACAUUUUGGAUGGUGUGGUGGAAAGUUUUUCGGUGUGGGAUGAGCUCGCGGCCUAUCAGCUUGUUGGUGGGGUAAUGGCCUACCAAGGCGUCGACGGGUAGCCGGCCUGAGAGGGUGUACGGCCACAUUGGGACUGAGAUACGGCCCAGACUCCUACGGGAGGCAGCAGUGGGGAAGAUUGCACAAUGGGCGCAAGCCUGAUGCAGCGACGCCGCGUGGGGGAUGACGGCCUUCGGGUUGUAAACUCCUUUCGCUAGGGACGAAGCGUUAUGUGACGGUACCUGGAGAAGAAGCACCGGCUAACUACGUG